Long non-coding RNA from Pygocentrus nattereri (red-bellied piranha), 1083 nucleotides. The record is from Ensembl. Lineage: Eukaryota; Metazoa; Chordata; Actinopteri; Characiformes; Serrasalmidae.
AUGGUUGCAAAUGUAAUUAUUUGGAAAAUGUUCACAUAUCCUGUGUUUGUUUACCAGGGUCUGCUUUACGUAAACAUGCGCAACAUGACUGAAGCACCGUCUAUCUUAAAGGGUAAGUUCAGCAACGGCGGCUCGUCUGGUUACAGACACCGAAACCAGAAACUUCGUAGCUUUACAGAGCGCUGGUAUGAAAUCACACUCAGUCUAAUGAGAAACUGUAGAACAGACUCGGUUUAUAUCACAAUACCUACAUUUAGAGUCGGUUAUUCAUUCAGCCUAAUGAGAAACUGUAGAACGGACUCGGUUUAUAUCACAAUACCUACAUUUAGAGUCGGUUAUUCAUUCAGUCUAAUGAGAAACUGUAGAACGGACUCGGUUUAUAUCACAAUACCUACAUUUAGAGUCGGUUAUUCAUUCAGUCUAAUGAGAAACUGUAGAACAGACUCGGUUUAUAUCACAAUACCUACAUUUAGAGUCGGUUAUUCAUUCAGCCUAAUGAGAAACUGUAGAACGGACUCGGUUUAUAUCACAAUACCUACAUUUAGAGUCGGUUAUUCAUUCAGCCUAAUGAGAAACUGUAGAACAGACUCGGUUUAUAUCACAAUACCUACAUUUAGAGCCGGUUAUUCAUUCAGUCUAAUGAGAAACUGUAGAACAGACUCGGUUUAUAUCACAAUACCUACAUUUAGAGUCGGUUAUUCAUUCAGUCUAAUGAGAAACUGUAGAACAGACUCGGUUUAUAUCACAAUACCUACAUUUAGAGCCAGUUAUUCAUUCAGUCUAAUGAGAAACUGUAGAACGGACUCGGUUUAUAUCACAAUACCUACAUUUAGAGUCGGUUAUUCAUUCAGCCUAAUGAGAAACUGUAGAACGGACUCGGUUUAUAUCACAAUACCUACAUUUAGAGUCGGUUAUUCAUUCAGCCUAAUGAGAAACUGUAGAACGGACUCGGUUUAUAUCACAAUACCUACAUUUAGAGUCGGUUAUUCAUUCAGUCUAAUGAGAAACUGUAGAACAGACUCGGUUUAUAUCACAAUACCUACAUUUAGAGUCGGUUAUUCAUUCAGUCUAAUGAGAAACUAG